AAUUUUGAUCAGAGCCAAUUUGAAUGCACAUCGACAUCCUUUGAGGAGUUAGCUAGCACUACAUUUGGUGUUGAUACUGCACAAGAUACUGCUAGAGGAGAUACUGCUAGAGGAUCUGAUGAGCAUAUGGUGGAUCUGGACCACGUCCCGGGGACAAGAGAGAUACUGCUAGAGGAUCUGAUGAGCAUAUGCAUGAGACAGGUGGAUCUGGACCACGUCCCGGGGACAAGAGAGAUACUGCUAGAGGAUCUGAUGAGCA
Molecule: long non-coding RNA, 259 nt
Organism: Cryptomeria japonica (Japanese cedar)
Lineage: Eukaryota; Viridiplantae; Streptophyta; Pinopsida; Cupressales; Cupressaceae
Exons: 4
Source: RefSeq, a predicted model, not a curated record